Transfer RNA from Selaginella moellendorffii, 72 nucleotides. It matches the Rfam family "tRNA". From Rfam's summary of the family: Transfer RNA (tRNA) molecules are approximately 80 nucleotides in length. Their secondary structure includes four short double-helical elements and three loops (D, anti-codon, and T loops). The record is from Rfam. NCBI's taxonomy places the organism in Eukaryota, Viridiplantae, Streptophyta, Lycopodiopsida, Selaginellales, Selaginellaceae.
GGGCAGCUAGCUCAGUGGUAGAGCACCUGGCACCGGUGUAGGAGGUCCUGGGUUCAAUCCCCGGCCUGUCCA